CACUUUCUUUGAAAUGAAAAUUAAGAAGAAGAAAAUUCUUCUUUCUUCAUUAUAUGUCUUUCAAUGAAGAAGAAAAAAAGAAGAACCGAAGAAGAGGAAUCGAAAAAGAAGAAGAAGAAAAAGAAGAAGAAGAAGAAUCAAAGAAAAAGAAAAAGAAGAAGAAAAAGAAGCAUCGAGAAUAAGCAGAAGAAGAAGAAUCGAAGAAGAAAAAAAUGACUGGAAAACGAAAAAACGAUGAACGAAAAACGAAAAAUAACGAACGAUGAACGCAGAAACUCAGCUGAAUUAUGCAUUUUUUUAUUACUGGAUAACGAUAAACGAAGAACAACGAACGAUGAACGCAGAAACCCAGCUGGGUUCUGCGUUUUUUUAUUACUAGACGAAAAGUUUAACGACGGAUUUUAUCCGCUGUUAGCUUAACAACAGAUAAAAAUCUGCCGUUAGCUUACUUACCAUUACUUACCCUAACGACGGAUAAAAAUCAGUCGUUAAGAUUUCUAACAACAGACUAUCCGCUGGUAAAAUUG
This 527-nucleotide long non-coding RNA is filed under the name Linum usitatissimum (flax). RNAcentral describes it as "long non-coding RNA (LUSI_LNC003091)". The record is from RNAcentral. Lineage: Eukaryota; Viridiplantae; Streptophyta; Magnoliopsida; Malpighiales; Linaceae.